Molecule: transfer RNA, 74 nt
Filed under: Diaphorina citri (Asian citrus psyllid)
Lineage: Eukaryota; Metazoa; Arthropoda; Insecta; Hemiptera; Psyllidae
Rfam family: tRNA
About the family: Transfer RNA (tRNA) molecules are approximately 80 nucleotides in length. Their secondary structure includes four short double-helical elements and three loops (D, anti-codon, and T loops).
Source: Rfam by way of RNAcentral
GCCUAUGUUAGCUUAGUUGGUAGUGCGUCUGCCUUGUAAGCGCUAGACCGCGGGUUCGAUUCCCGCCCGGGGCG